AUGAUUGCUGGUAAUUCCUGCAUGGCCCCAUAGGCAUAUUCACGCAAGCGUGCCUAUGGGUAAAGUCCCUGGAGCUUGCCAACAACCAUGUUAGCUGUAGUCUGGAUCGAUGAUGGCACAAGGAUGCUUGCUUUAAGGUAACAUUCUGGCAGCACAGCCAGCCCGCAAUUGCUAGUUCAAGCGGGUGGAAUCUGCCUAUAGGGGUGUUGCUUGCUUGCUGUGGAUUUGGGACACGCCCAAUAUCUAUCAUCGACCCAACGAAGUGCUCAACAUGGGUUGCUGAGGGCUAUUUUGGCACAGAUGCUUCACUCGUUUGCUUGGCUUUGAUAAAUGUUUAGAUGUCAUGAUGCUUGGGAUCCAAUAAAUAUAUGUGGGAAGCUGAGAGCUGGAACCCAAUGUCAUUCACCAGACGCUUUAGCUUCGUCAGUGUGUAUAAUAUGUCAUUGAACCCCAAUCCUCGAUGCCGACCUGAUUAUGACUUUUGGAUCGCAAUUAUCAUGGCUAUCAAAAACUGAGUAGGAGUCAUGGAAUAAGUGAACAAUUUGUGGCCUUUAUAGCUGUCAGCUUUCGCAUCGCCCGGUGUGUUUUGGGAAUCGCUUUGUGCAUUUGGUUGCCUGCCGUGCCUCUUGGCAUACGGUUGGUGCCACUUGCCGGGUGGUUUUCGGAAACAUCCACCGUAAAGGUGCAUGAGUGGUGUUUGGUUUGUUACGGGUGGUUGGCUCUUUGCUUGCGCAACAACUGCCACCCGACUUACCUCUUCAGUUUUUGCCUAGGCUUGUAUAGCCUAAGCAGAUUGUGGGUUUCCUGUGUUGCCUACCUACGUCACGGAAUUGUCCCGAUCGAUCAAAGUUGCUUUCGUCUUGUGUCGUCUUGAUGGCAUAAGAUGAACCAUGAAGCUGUCUCUUUGCACCGCAUCGUUAAUGCAUGCAUUGAUGUUGUGGCCCAUUGAGCAUUGCUUGGUACCUCGGAUACGGAACCUUAUGUGGGCAUCGGUCCUUAGGGAUCCUUGUUCUGCCCUCGUUUAGCGUUCGCGCUUCUCUUAGAAUGACUGCCCAGCCGGAAUGGGAAGCCAUUCUGGAUGGGCAUCGUCAAAGAG
Molecule: long non-coding RNA, 1096 nt
Filed under: Helianthus annuus (common sunflower)
Lineage: Eukaryota; Viridiplantae; Streptophyta; Magnoliopsida; Asterales; Asteraceae
Description: hypothetical non coding rna
Source: RNAcentral